UCAUAAAGCAGAAGUUAAGAUACGUACAUUGAGAAAACGCAUAGGAACAGCUUAGCAAUGGCCGUGGCACAAGGACUUCUUCAAUAGAGAGUGCUUGUUCUCUACUUCCUAUUCUAUUAUCAUUGGUUUUACAGAGAAAUAAGCUGGAACCCAGAAUUGCCUGGAGCCAAAUAUGGAGAUGUGCGUCUGCAGCCCCCCAGCAGACCACCUGCACCAUUAAUGAACGAUACCACUGCCUGUGGCCCAGGAAACGGAACACUGCAUUCUCCGUGGACAGAGUUAAGGACCAGAAUUACCCUCACAUGAAAAAGAGACCAGAGAAGUUAUACAUCUGCCAAGAGCCAAAGUGGAUUUUUGUUGUUAGCAACCAAAGAAUCUUAACAAGAAUCUUAAUGGAUAUACCUAUCAAAAUGGACAGGUGUUAAAGAAAAAAGAACAUUUUCCCCCACAAGAGUCCUUUUCAUGCAUUCCCCAAAUUAAAUGCAAUGGCAAAG
RNAcentral lists this long non-coding RNA (494 nucleotides) under Mustela putorius furo (domestic ferret). RNAcentral's name for it is "lncRNA (ENSMPUG00000023838.1)". The record is from RNAcentral. Lineage: Eukaryota; Metazoa; Chordata; Mammalia; Carnivora; Mustelidae.